GGCCGGUUAGCUCAGUUGGUUGAGCAUGGUGUUGAUAACACCAAGGUCAUGAGUUCGAUCCCCUUUCGGUCC
This 72-nucleotide transfer RNA is filed under the name Apaloderma vittatum (bar-tailed trogon). It matches the Rfam family "tRNA". From Rfam's summary of the family: Transfer RNA (tRNA) molecules are approximately 80 nucleotides in length. Their secondary structure includes four short double-helical elements and three loops (D, anti-codon, and T loops). Further hydrogen bonds mediate the characteristic L-shaped molecular structure. tRNAs have two regions of fundamental functional importance: the anti-codon, which is responsible for specific mRNA codon recognition, and the 3' end, to which the tRNAs corresponding amino acid is attached (by aminoacyl-tRNA synthetases). tRNAs cope with the degeneracy of the genetic code in two manners: having more than one tRNA (with a specific anti-codon) for a particular amino acid; and 'wobble' base-pairing, i.e. permitting non-standard base-pairing at the 3rd anti-codon position. Lineage: Eukaryota; Metazoa; Chordata; Aves; Trogoniformes; Trogonidae. The record is from Rfam by way of RNAcentral.